This 158-nucleotide ribosomal RNA is filed under the name uncultured bacterium. RNAcentral's name for it is "partial 16S ribosomal RNA". It matches the Rfam family "Bacterial small subunit ribosomal RNA", at positions 331 to 482 of the family's 1533-position model. The record is from RNAcentral.
CGCCCUUCCUACGGGAGGCAGCAGUGGGGAAUUUUGGACAAUGGGCGAAAGCCUGAUCCAGCCAUGCCGCGUGAGUGAAGAAGGCCUUCGGGUUGUAAAGCUCUUUCGGUCGGGAAGAAAUAGUUGUGGCUAAUAUCCACAAUGAAUGACGUNCCGNC